GAUGAACGCUGGCGGCGUGCCUAAUACAUGCAAGUCGAGCGAACGGACGAGAAGCUUGCUUCUCUGAUGUUAGCGGCGGACGGGUGAGUAACACGUGGAUAACCUACCUAUAAGACUGGGAUAACUUCGGGAAACCGGAGCUAAUACCGGAUAAUAUUUUGAACCGCAUGGUUCAAAAGUGAAAGACGGUCUUGCUGUCACUUAUAGAUGGAUCCGCGCUGCAUUAGCUAGUUGGUAAGGUAACGGCUUACCAAGGCAACGAUGCAUAGCCGACCUGAGAGGGUGAUCGGCCACACUGGAACUGAGACACGGUCCAGACGCCUACGGGAGGCAGCAGUAGGGAAUCUUCCGCAAUGGGCGAAAGCCUGACGGAGCAACGCCGCGUGAGUGAUAAAGGUCUUCGGAUCGUAAAACUCUGUUAUUAGGGAAGAACAUAUGUGUAAGUAACUGUGCACAUCUUGACGGUACCUAAUCAGAAAGCCACGGCUAACUACGUG
RNAcentral lists this ribosomal RNA (497 nucleotides) under uncultured bacterium. RNAcentral's name for it is "partial 16S ribosomal RNA". It matches the Rfam family "Bacterial small subunit ribosomal RNA", at positions 28 to 507 of the family's 1533-position model. The record is from RNAcentral.